This 785-nucleotide ribosomal RNA is filed under the name uncultured bacterium. RNAcentral describes it as "bacterial SSU rRNA". It matches the Rfam family "Bacterial small subunit ribosomal RNA", at positions 79 to 879 of the family's 1533-position model. The record is from RNAcentral.
UACAACAAUGGCUUUAGUGGCGGACUGGUGAGUAACGCGUAAGGAACCUGCCUUCUAGAGGGGAAUAACAAUGAGAAAUCAUUGCUAAUACCGCAUAUGCCGAGAGAAUCACAUGGUACAAUCGGGAAAAGAGUAAUCUGCUAGAAGAUGGCCUUGCGUCUGAUUAGAUAGUUGGUGGGGUAACGGCCUACCAAGUCGACGAUCAGUAGCCGGACUGAGAGGUUGAACGGCCACAUUGGGACUGAGAUACGGCCCAGACUCCUACGGGAGGCAGCAGUCGGGAAUAUUGCGCAAUGGAGGAAACUCUGACGCAGUGACGCCGCGUAUAGGAAGAAGGUUUUCGGAUUGUAAACUAUUGUCGUUAGGGAAGAGAAAGGACAGUACCUAAGGAGGAAGCUCCGGCUAACUACGUGCCAGCAGCCGCGGUAAUACGUAGGGAGCGAGCGUUAUCCGGAAUUAUUGGGUGUAAAGGGUGCGUAGACGGGAAGAUAAGUUAGUUGUGAAAUCCCUCGGCUUAACUGAGGAACUGCAACUAAAACUGUUUUUCUUGAGUGCAGGAGAGGUAAGUGGAAUUCCUAGUGUAGCGGUGAAAUGCGUAGAUAUUAGGAGGAACACCAGUGGCGAAGGCGACUUACUGGACUGUAACUGACGUUGAGGCACGAAAGUGUGGGGAGCAAACAGGAUUAGAUACCCUGGUAGUCCACACCGUAAACGAUGGAUACUAGGUGUAGGAGAUAUUAAGUCUUCUGUGCCGUCGCAAACGCAGUAAGUAUCCCACCUGGGGA